UUUAAAUUUAGAGUUUGAUCCUGGCUCAGGACGAACGCUGGCGGCGUGCUUAACACAUGCAAGUCGAGCGAUGAAGCUUCCUUCGGGAAGUGGAUUAGCGGCGGACGGGUGAGUAACACGUGGGUAACCUGCCUCAAAGUGGGGGAUAGCCUUCCGAAAGGAAGAUUAAUACCGCAUAAUAUAAGAGAAUCGCAUGAUUUUCUUAUCAAAGAUUUAUUGCUUUGAGAUGGACCCGCGGCGCAUUAGCUAGUUGGUAAGGUAACGGCUUACCAAGGCAACGAUGCGUAGCCGACCUGAGAGGGUGAUCGGCCACAUUGGAACUGAGACACGGUCCAGACUCCUACGGGAGGCAGCAGUGGGGAAUAUUGCGCAAUGGGGGAAACCCUGACGCAGCAACGCCGCGUGGGUGAUGAAGGUCUUCGGAUUGUAAAGCCCUGUUUUCUAGGACGAUAAUGACGGUACUAGAGGAGGAAGCCACGGCUAACUACGUGCCAGCAGCCGCGGUAAUACGUAGGUGGCGAGCGUUGUCCGGAUUUACUGGGCGUAAAGGGUGCGUAGGCGGAUGUUUAAGUGGGAUGUGAAAUCCCCGGGCUUAACCUGGGGGCUGCAUUCCAAACUGGAUAUCUAGAGUGCAGGAGA
RNAcentral lists this ribosomal RNA (639 nucleotides) under Clostridium botulinum. Its description in RNAcentral is "bacterial SSU rRNA". It matches the Rfam family "Bacterial small subunit ribosomal RNA", at positions 1 to 655 of the family's 1533-position model. The record is from RNAcentral. Lineage: Bacteria; Bacillati; Bacillota; Clostridia; Eubacteriales; Clostridiaceae.